GAGGUUUGGAGGAGAGUGGCGAAAGGGUGCGUAACGCGUGGGCAAUCUGCCUCCUGGCUGGGGAUAACCCGCCGAAAGGCGAGCUAAUACCGAAUGAGGUCCCCCCUCACCUGUGGGGAAGACCAAAGGCGGGGAUUUGACUUCGGUCGAACCUGCCGCCGGGAGAGGAGCCCGCGUCCUAUCAGCUAGUUGGUGAGGUAACGGCCCACCAAGGCUUACGGGUAGCUGGUCUGAGAGGAUGGUCAGCCACACGGGGACUGAGACACUGCCCAGACUCCUACGGGAGGCUGCAGUCGAGGAUCAUUCGCAAUGCGCGAAAGCGUGACGAUGCGACGCUGCGUGGAGGAUGAAGGCCUUCGGGUUGUAAACUCCUGUCAUUCGGGAACAAGGUCGGUGGGGUAAACAGCCUCGCCGCUUGAUAGUACCGGAAGAGGAAGCGACGGCUAACUCUGUGCCAGCAGCCGCGGUAAUACAGAGGUCGCGAGCGUUGUUCGGAUUUACUGGGCGUAAAGAGUGCGUAGGCGGUUCCGUGUGUCGGGUGUAAAAUGCCGCUGUUCAACAGUGGAACGCCAUUCGAAACUGCGGAACUAGAGUGCGGGAGGGGAGAGCGGAAUUCCAGGUGUAGCGGUGAAAUGCGUUGAUAUCUGGAGGAACACCAGUGGCGAAGGCGGCUCUCUGGAACGCAACUGACGCUGAGGCACGAAAGCGUGGGGAGCAAACAGGAUUAGAUACCCUGGUAGUCCACGCCCUAAACGGUGUACACUUGGUGUGGGGAGUAUUGAUCCUCCCCGUGCCGUAGCUAACGCGUUAAGUGUACCGCCUGGGGAGUACGGCCGCAAGGUUGAAACUCAAAGAAAUUGACGGGGGCCCGCACAAGCGGAGGAGCAUGUGGCUCAAUUCGAUGCAACGCGAAGAACCUUACCAGGACUUGACAUGCAGCUGCAAGCCGCCCGAAAGGGUGGCCGCCUCCGAGGGUGCUGCACAGGUGCUGCAUGGCUGUCGUCAGUUCGUGCCGUGAGGUGUUGGGUUAAGUCCCGCAACGAACGCAACCCCUGUGUCUAGUUGCCACCGCAGGUGAUGAGCUUGCGAGCACUCUAGUCAGACUGCCCGUGCAAGCGGGAGGAAGGUGGGGACGACGUCAAGUCAGUAUGGCCUUUAUGUCCUGGGCUGCACACGUGCUACAAUGGGUGGUACAGAGGGAAGCAAGACCGCAAGGUGGAGCAAAUCCUAGAAAGCCACCCCCAGUUCAGAUUGAAGUCUGCAACUCGACUUCAUGAAGUCGGAUUCGCUAGUAAUGGCGCAUCAGCUACGGCGCCGUGAAUACGUUCCCGGGCCUUGUACACACCGCCCGUCACAUCACGAAAGCUGUCUGCACCCGAAGUCGCUGCACCAACCUGCGCAAGCGGGAGGAA
Molecule: ribosomal RNA, 1412 nt
Filed under: metagenome
Description: bacterial SSU rRNA
Rfam family: Bacterial small subunit ribosomal RNA
Source: RNAcentral